AUAAAAGGGGUACAAAGUACACCACCUCAAGGACCUCAUUAAAAAACCUCCCUAAUCCUAAAUGGAGGAAAAAGAGAAUACCUUGAGGUGGAAAGGAUCUAAAAACAAACAAUACUUUAACAACAAACAAUCCGAACUCUAGCCAAACAACGAACCGCAGGCCAGUUCAGAACCGUUCCAACAUAAACUAACGACAGGAAUGAAAAAAGAAAAUCGAAAGGAUCAUACACAAGCAACAGACCGUUUCACACAACCCACGACCUGAACUCAACCAGCAGCAGCAACCAAAACGGAGCUAGAAGAACAUCCAACAAAACACCAGCUCCCUAAUUGCACCCACUGCCAUAUUUCCAACAAAAAAGUCGGGUUAAAUUUAUUAAAAUGAUCCAUUUAUAUUUGUCACAGAAAAGAAGAAAAUUAAUGAAAUUCAUAUUUGACUUUGUAUGAAAAUGGACUGCUGUUUGACCCCAAGGGCCAGACUCAAAAUGCACAAGCACAAAUGUUCUCUGACCCUAGCAUGGCUAUGGACAUGAUGAAGAAAAAUCUCUGUAUGAUUAUACCUCAGACUCUCACUUUCUCCUGGGUCAACUUUUUCUUCUCUGGUUUUGUUGCAGAAUGGAAUUGACCUUAGCACAGUAGAUGUUAGCUAUGUCAGUAGCAGCAAUGGAUGAUACACAGCGAAUGAUGCAGAUGAGUGGGUUUGGCUUUGAUCCAUCGAAGAGCCUGGGUGCUGAGAAAGUUGGCCUUGACGUAAUCCAACAUGAAUGGGCACUCCCUAAAUUCGAGCAUCGUGCUGAAUCAGUGUUGAAAAGACUAAACAUUAGGAGCAUAAUCAACAACUCUCCAAAGGGGCUGGUUUGAUCGAAGUUUUCAUCAUACGAGCUCACCGAAGUGUAAAAGAGGAAACACAUAGAAACAAGGGUAGGCUUUAGUUUAUGUUCCAAUUCUACGAGAAGCAAGAAGAAACUUGUGACUUUACUAAUUUUUUGCUCUUAGUAACUUUAUGUUGGAUCUUUGGCCGGCCUG
This is a long non-coding RNA of Hibiscus syriacus, 1026 nucleotides long. RefSeq lists it as uncharacterized. The record is from RefSeq and is a predicted model, not a curated record. Lineage: Eukaryota; Viridiplantae; Streptophyta; Magnoliopsida; Malvales; Malvaceae. The transcript has 4 exons.